Molecule: ribosomal RNA, 674 nt
Filed under: Dicrotendipes flexus
Lineage: Eukaryota; Metazoa; Arthropoda; Insecta; Diptera; Chironomidae
Description: partial 28S ribosomal RNA
Rfam family: Eukaryotic large subunit ribosomal RNA
Source: RNAcentral
UGUCUAGGGGCUCAAACCUAAAGAACCUAAAUAUCUAAACGGAGAAAUUCAAUACUACCGUUAAACGUAGUGUGCACUUUUCUCUUAGUAAGACGCCGUGAUCCAUUAGAAAUUGAUACAUACAAAAUGUAUAUUGGGUCAUCAAUAGGCCAGUAUGAAGUUUAUUGGAACAAAUGGCAUGAUCUUUCACGGUUGUGUGUAUUGUCUGGUAAGCAUAUUGUGUCCUGUAAUGACUGUCUGAUGGAUUUUAAAGACAUUAUUAAUGAUGUUUCGGCAUCACUCGUAAUGAGAACUCAAUAAUUGUCUGAUCAACGGCGGUUAAAUUUGGGAUACCUUUUGGACCCGUCUUGAAACACGGACCAAGGAGUCUAUCUAGUAUGCGAGUAAAUGGAUAAUUUUUGAAAUCUAUUUGCAUAAUAAACUUGACUGUUCAAUGGGAAUACGAGAAUAAAUGCAUUAUGUGUAUUUAUCUCUUCCAUCCCGGGGUAUUUUUAUCAACAUAUGCUUGCAUAUGGAAAAUAUACCAUGAGCACACUGGAUACGACCCGAAAGAUGGUGAACUAUGCCUGAUCAGGUCGAAGUCAGGGGAAACCCUGAUGGAGGACCGAAGCAGUUCUGACGUGCAAAUCGAUUGUCAGAAUUGGGCAUAGGGGCGAAAGACCAAUCGAACCAUC